UUCUAAGGGCGUUGAAGCAUGAUCGCAAGGACAUGUGGAGCGCUUAGAAGUGAGAAUGCCGGUGUGAGUAGCGAAAGACGGGUGAGAAUCCCGUCCACCGAUUGACUAAGGUUUCCAGAGGAAGGCUCGUCCGCUCUGGGUUAGUCGGGUCCUAAGCUGAGGCCGACAGGCGUAGGCGAUGGAUAACAGGUUGAUAUUCCUGUACCACCAUUAUUCGUUUUAAGCGAUGGGGGGACGCAGUAGGAUAGGCGAAGCGUGCUGUUGGAGUGCACGUCCAAGCAGUGAGAUUGAGUGUUAGGCAAAUCCGGCACUCUUAAGAUUGAGCUGUGAUGGGGAGAGGAACUUGUUCCUCGAGUCGUUGAUUUCACACUGCCGAGAAAAGCCUCUAGCUAGAAUAACGGUGCCCGUACCGCAAACCGACACAGGUAGUCAAGAUGAGAAUUCUAAGGUGAGCGAGCGAACUCUCGUUAAGGAACUCGGCAAAAUGACCCCGUAACUUCGGGAGAAGGGGUGCUCUUUGAGGUUCACGCUUCGAAGAGCCGCAGUGAAUAGGCCCAAGCGACUGUUUAUCAAAAACACAGGUCUCUGCUAAACCGUAAGGUGACGUAUAGGGGCUGACGCCUGCCCGGUGCUGGAAGGUUAAGAGGAGUGGUUAGCGCAAGCGAAGCUACGAAUCGAAGCCCCAGUAAACGGCGGCCGUAACUAUAACGGUCCUAAGGUAGCGAAAUUCCUUGUCGGGUAAGUUCCGACCCGCACGAAAGGCGUAACGAUUUGGGCACUGUCUCAACGAGAGACUCGGUGAAAUCAUAGUACCGGUGAAGAUGCCGGUUACCCGCGACAGGACGGAAAGACCCCGUGGAGCUUUACUGUAGCCUGAUAUUGAAAUUCGGUACAGUUUGUACAGGAUAGG
This 910-nucleotide ribosomal RNA is filed under the name Staphylococcus pseudintermedius. Its description in RNAcentral is "partial 23S ribosomal RNA". It matches the Rfam family "Bacterial large subunit ribosomal RNA", at positions 1239 to 2147 of the family's 2925-position model. The record is from RNAcentral. Lineage: Bacteria; Bacillati; Bacillota; Bacilli; Caryophanales; Staphylococcaceae.